GUCGGCCAAAUGUCACGUGACAUUUGACCUUGACUCGGCACCAAAAUUUGAUGACAAAUACUGCGCGGUUGAUACAUUUGAUGGCGUCAACAAACUGCUUGCUCCAAAUCUUAUACAAUUUUAAGCUUGUAUCAAAUUUGCAAUCUUUUCUCUUGUAUUUUGCUGUGACCUGCCUAGUAUUUUAUUGCAGAUUGCAGAGCUCUUACUCUGAUUCAGUUUUGUGUUAGCAAGCAGCAUGCCAGGGUGUUUUGCAUCUGGGUGCAGCCACCACAACAGCGCUGCAAGAUGUAGGUACAUUUAGGAGGUUUACAAGAGAGGAGAAGAUGAGGGUCGCUUGGGUGAGGGCUGUCAGACGUGCAGAUGCAGUUCCCAGGAGCACUUCCCAGCUCUGUUCCUGUCAUUUUGAAGAGGGCAGCUGCAUCCCAACACUCUUCCAGUACAACGGGACAUCGGGUACCAGAUUGCUCAUUUCCGGUCGCCUGUGCUACACCAAGCUCAGAAAGGGAAAGCGGAUCACACAGCCACCAUCAGCGCGCUAGAACUCCAAGGAGGAUCUGCGAGCGGCGCACCAGGCGCCGUCGGAGCAGCCCCUGGUAGCGACAGCCGCCGCGCCGUCGGAGCAGUCCCUGGGAGCCACGGCCAGCCGCUGUCGGAGCAGCCUCUGGGAGCCGGCCGGCCGCCGUCGGAGAGGCCUCUGGGAGCUUACCUGUAACUGACUGCGGCUGACGUGUGUGUCCGUGUGCGCGCGUGUGUGUGUGCGUUUCCACUGGCAGUGAUAGUGACAGGUGAACGGUGUUCAUGACCGAUGGCCGGCGGUCUUUGUUGUUAUUCUGAUAAUACGUAUGAGACAUUGUUUUAAUAUGUUUUGUUCUGAAACGUUUCCAAAAACUGAAUCACUUCAUUAUCAUUCUACUUUCAAGCAUGUUUACCAGAUAAAAGGAUUUGCAAAUCAAAGGAAGUAAAAUUGUGUGAAAAUUUACUCAGUUGCGCAGCUAGCCAACACACAUUUGCUACUGUCAGGCCGCUAUGGAACAUGUUCAAAGUAGCUCAACGUAUUGAAUGACUCACUGCUCCCCCCCCCCCCCCCCCGCCAACGUUGGCGCGCAUUGGGCGCAGGCACAAGAGUGGUAUCAACGACCGCCGUCUUGAGCUGCACCAGGGUCUGCUGGCUCUUCGUCAUGUAUGGUGCAUUGUUCAGAUAUCCCCGCUGCACGCUGUACGCUGUACGCCACUGUUUCGUUAUAAUAUUUUCUGCUCGAUUUGUUUGAAAUAUGGAAAUAUGUAUAGACACUGGAUGUGCAAAGCGUCCGUGUAGGACA
Molecule: long non-coding RNA, 1319 nt
Filed under: Amphibalanus amphitrite
Lineage: Eukaryota; Metazoa; Arthropoda; Thecostraca; Balanomorpha; Balanidae
Description: uncharacterized LOC122372450
Source: RNAcentral